RNAcentral lists this ribosomal RNA (433 nucleotides) under Micrococcus sp. S717-52. RNAcentral describes it as "bacterial SSU rRNA". It matches the Rfam family "Bacterial small subunit ribosomal RNA", at positions 28 to 474 of the family's 1533-position model. Lineage: Bacteria; Bacillati; Actinomycetota; Actinomycetes; Micrococcales; Micrococcaceae. The record is from RNAcentral.
GAUGAACGCUGGCGGCGUGCUUAACACAUGCAAGUCGAACGAUGAAGCCCAGCUUGCUGGGUGGAUUAGUGGCGAACGGGUGAGUAACACGUGAGUAACCUGCCCUUAACUCUGGGAUAAGCCUGGGAAACUAGGUCUAAUACCGGAUAGGAGCGCCUACCGCAUGGUGGGUGUUGGAAAGAUUUAUCGGUUUUGGAUGGACUCGCGGCCUAUCAGCUUGUUGGUGAGGUAAUGGCUCACCAAGGCGACGACGGGUAGCCGGCCUGAGAGGGUGACCGGCCACACUGGGACUGAGACACGGCCCAGACUCCUACGGGAGGCAGCAGUGGGGAAUAUUGCACAAUGGGCGAAAGCCUGAUGCAGCGACGCCGCGUGAGGGAUGACGGCCUUCGGGUUGUAAACCUCUUUCAGUAGGGAAGAAGCGAAAGUGACG